UGGGGAAUUUUGGACAAUGGGGGAAACCCUGAUCCAGCCAUCCCGCGUGUGCGAUGAAGGCCUUCGGGUUGUAAAGCACUUUUGGCAGGAAAGAAACGUCGCGGGUUAAUACCCCGCGAAACUGACGGUACCUGCAGAAUAAGCACCGGCUAACUACGUGCCAGCAGCCGCGGUAAUACGUAGGGUGCAAGCGUUAAUCGGAAUUACUGGGCGUAAAGCGUGCGCAGGCGGUUCGGAAAGAAAGAUGUGAAAUCCCAGAGCUUAACUUUGGAACUGCAUUUUUAACUACCGGGCCAGAGUGUGUCAGAGGGAGGUGGAAUUCCGCGUGUAGCAGUGAAAUGCGUAGAUAUGCGGAGGAACACCGAUGGCGAAGGCAGCCUCCUGGGAUAACACUGACGCUCAUGCACGAAAGCGUGGGGAGCAAACAGGAUUAGAUACCCUGGUAGUCCACGCCCUAAAACGAUGUCAAACUAGCUGUUGGGGCCUUCGGGCCUUGGUAGCGCAGCUAACGUGUGGAGUUGACCGCCUGGGGAGUACGGUC
RNAcentral lists this ribosomal RNA (541 nucleotides) under uncultured bacterium. RNAcentral's name for it is "partial 16S ribosomal RNA". It matches the Rfam family "Bacterial small subunit ribosomal RNA", at positions 355 to 887 of the family's 1533-position model. The record is from RNAcentral.